This 429-nucleotide ribosomal RNA is filed under the name Actinomycetes bacterium. RNAcentral describes it as "Actinobacteria bacterium partial 16S ribosomal RNA". It matches the Rfam family "Bacterial small subunit ribosomal RNA", at positions 355 to 776 of the family's 1533-position model. Lineage: Bacteria; Bacillati; Actinomycetota; Actinomycetes. The record is from RNAcentral.
UAGGGAAUCUUCCGCAAUGGGCGAAAGCCUGACGGAGCAACGCCGCGUGAGUGAUGAAGGUCUUCGGAUCGUAAAACUCUGUUAUUAGGGAAGAACAAAUGUGUAAGUAACUAUGCACGUCUUGACGGUACCUAAUCAGAAAGCCACGGCUAACUACGUGCCAGCAGCCGCGGUAAUACGUAGGUGGCAAGCGUUAUCCGGAAUUAUUGGGCGUAAAGCGCGCGUAGGCGGUUUUUUAAGUCUGAUGUGAAAGCCCACGGCUCAACCGUGGAGGGUCAUUGGAAACUGGAAAACUUGAGUGCAGAAGAGGAAAGUGGAAUUCCAUGUGUAGCAGUGAAAUGCGCAGAGAUAUGGAGGAACACCAGUGGCGAAGGCGACUUUCUGGUCUGUAACUGACGCUGAUGUGCGAAAGCGCGGGGAUCAAACAGG